UACGAAGGGGGCUAGCGUUGUUCGGAAUUACUGGGCGUAAAGCGCGCGCAGGCGGUCCUUCAAGUCAGAGGGGAAAGCCCAGAGCUCAACUCUGGAACGGCCUUUGAAACUAGAGGACUUGGGUACGGGAGAGGUGAGUGGAAUUCCGAGUGUAGAGGUGAAAUUCGUAGAUAUUCGGAAGAACACCAGUGGCGAAGGCGGCUCUCUGGUACGUGACUGACGCUGAGACGCGAAAGCGUGGGGAGCGAACAGG
RNAcentral lists this ribosomal RNA (253 nucleotides) under uncultured bacterium. Its description in RNAcentral is "partial 16S ribosomal RNA". It matches the Rfam family "Bacterial small subunit ribosomal RNA", at positions 524 to 776 of the family's 1533-position model. The record is from RNAcentral.